RNAcentral lists this ribosomal RNA (253 nucleotides) under uncultured bacterium. RNAcentral describes it as "partial 16S ribosomal RNA". It matches the Rfam family "Bacterial small subunit ribosomal RNA", at positions 524 to 776 of the family's 1533-position model. The record is from RNAcentral.
UACGUAGGGUGCGAGCGUUAAUCGGAAUUACUGGGCGUAAAGCGUGCGCAGGCGGCUUUGCAAGACAGAUGUGAAAUCCCCGGGCUCAACCUGGGAACUGCAUUUGUGACUGCAUGGCUAGAGUGCGGCAGAGGGGGAUGGAAUUCCGCGUGUAGCAGUGAAAUGCGUAGAUAUGCGGAGGAACACCGAUGGCGAAGGCGGCUCUCUGGUCUGUAACUGACGCUGAGGCGCGAAAGCGUGGGGAGCAAACAGG